RNAcentral lists this microRNA (22 nucleotides) under Notamacropus eugenii (tammar wallaby). Its description in RNAcentral is "Neu-Mir-9-P4_3p (mature (guide))". Lineage: Eukaryota; Metazoa; Chordata; Mammalia; Diprotodontia; Macropodidae. RNAcentral also lists the same sequence under 1 other name. The record is from RNAcentral.
UAAAGCUGGAGAACCGAAUGUG